GUCCAUAGGGUUGCAAAGAGUCAGACACAACUGAAGCGACUUAGCAUGCAUGCACAAUGGCUUACAACAGUAAUUGAAGGGGACCUCAGUGAGGGUCCGGAUCAGGAUGUUGGCCAGAAUUGGGGAAAGAGAGAGGAGCCUGGAAACUCUCUGAAGAGAUACAGAACGGAGCUUAAUGAUGUUGCCACGGCUGAAGAUAACAAAAAAUGAAAUGCUUCCAUUUGCUGCCCAGUGGACAUGCUCAGGGGACACACAUUUUGAGAUUGAUUCUCUGCAGAGCCAAGUAUUUAAUAUGUCAGCUUAGCGGUAAUACCAUCAAGAGCAUCACUUUUGUACCUGCCGUGAUGAAGGCCAGCUCUGGCCUGGGCUCAGACAGUGUGUUUGUGCCUGAACUCCUCAGCCUAGGGAGCAUUCGAGGUCCUAGCUCCCGCCUCAGUCUGGCUUCCUGGCAGUCCCUUGGGGUUGACUCAUCUCAUCUGUUAUGGCUGGAGGGAAGCCUCCUGGGGCUGUUGGCCUGAGCAGAGGGGGCCCAAGACACAGUGGAGCCCUUUCUUGUUCCCCGCAGGCUGGAUGAGAUCCCCAUCGGUGCUUUCUAAUUUCAACCAUGGGGUCCUCUGCUCGUGGUUCAGGAGGGAGGGUCCCAAAGUGAAAUGUGACAAGUAUUUCAUUUUAUGGGACACUUUCUGAAGCCCUUGCUAGAAGAAGAGAUUUCAAAAGACAAAACGAUGAACUACACAUCACAAGUAUUGACCAAGCAAAGCCACAGCCCAGGAACCGCCACAAAGCUCGGGACCUGGCUGGGAGCAUAGAGCAGCCGCUUUCAAAGGAGAUUCUUAGACAGAAAGUCAUAACUUAUUCAUGCUUCAUACACACGCAGGCAUUCAGGUCCCUUAAACACAGUAUGCCACUUCACUUCAAUUAACAGCAAAGUGGUGCCAUUUGCUCACAAAUUCUGCCAGCUUUGGUGUAGACAGAGCUCCUGCAAGGAGGCAGCUAGCCAUCAAGCCCAAAACUCUAGCAACUGAUUUGAAUCCAAGAAAUGCCGGCCUCCUUGGCCAUAGGAAAGACAUUUGGGGCCAUUUCUGUUUUUUUCUUAAUUUGGAAUAAUUUGUUGUGAUCAAAUAGAAAGUCUUAGUAUCUGAGCUCGGAGAAGGCAAUGGCACCCUACUCCAGUACUCUUGCCUGGAAAAUCCCAUGAAUGGAGGAGCCUGGUAGGCGGCAGUUCAUGGGGUCUCUA
Molecule: long non-coding RNA, 1237 nt
Organism: Bubalus bubalis (water buffalo)
Lineage: Eukaryota; Metazoa; Chordata; Mammalia; Artiodactyla; Bovidae
Exons: 2
Source: RefSeq, a predicted model, not a curated record